RNAcentral lists this ribosomal RNA (253 nucleotides) under uncultured bacterium. RNAcentral's name for it is "partial 16S ribosomal RNA". It matches the Rfam family "Bacterial small subunit ribosomal RNA", at positions 524 to 776 of the family's 1533-position model. The record is from RNAcentral.
UACGGGGGGGACGAGCGUUGUCCGAAGUUACUGGGCGUAAAGCGCGCGUAGGCGGGUUGGCAAGUCUGCUGUGAAAGCCCGGGGCUUAACCCCGGAGGGUCGGUGGAUACUGCCAGUCUUGAAGGUGCUAGGGGGAGAUGGAAUUACCGGUGUAGCGGUGAAAUGCGUAGAUAUCGGUAGGAACACCAGUGGCGAAGGCGGUCUCCUGGGGCACUCUUGACGCUGAGGCGCGAAAGCCAGGGGAGCAAACGGG